RNAcentral lists this ribosomal RNA (471 nucleotides) under uncultured delta proteobacterium. RNAcentral's name for it is "bacterial SSU rRNA". It matches the Rfam family "Bacterial small subunit ribosomal RNA", at positions 29 to 472 of the family's 1533-position model. The record is from RNAcentral. Lineage: Bacteria; Deltaproteobacteria.
AAUGAACGCUGGCGGCGUGCAUAACACAUGCAAGUCGAACGAGAAACCCUGGGCUUGCUCGGGGGAGUAAAGUGGCGCACGGGUGAGUAACACGUGGGUAACCUACCUCUGAAUCUGGAAUAACUUCGCGAAAGCGUUGCUAAUACCGGAUAUUGUCCCUUGAUCUGCGGUUCUUGGGAUGAAAGGUGACCUCUUCUUGAAAGUUGCCGUUCGGGGAUGGGCCCGCGUACCAUUAGCUAGUUGGUAGGGUAAUAGCCUACCAAGGCGAGGACGGUUAGCUGGUCUGAGAGGAUGACCAGCCACACUGGCACUGAAACACGGGCCAGACUCCUACGGGAGGCAGCAGUGAGGAAUCUUGCGCAAUGGGGGAAACCCUGACGCAGCAACGCCGCGUGAGCGAAGAAGGCCUUCGGGUCGUAAAGCUCUGUCUAGUGGGAAAAAAGUCCUGGUGUAAAUAGCUCCAGGAUCUGA